GUAGCUCAUACUAAUUUAAAUAUUAGGUUUCUAUCCUAUCCAUGAUUAAAAGCUUUCUUGUAUUGGGUUUUGAUUUUGCAAAAACGUAUACCCUAAUGAUAUGAAACUCUAUGUUGUUCCCCUUUGCAAAUUUAAAUAUAAAAUAAAAUCAUAGAUAAAAAGAAAUUUUAAAAAAAUAAUAAUCGCUGCUUCUUGUUGCCCACACUAUAGCUUUGGAAUUUUCGUGCUCAACAAACAACAGUAGACCGGAGUGUACUCCCAAGUACGCUUGGGAAGAAAGCAAACAGGCCACUAUUUAUAUCACAACCCAUCCCCAUCCUUUUCCCACACACUCAUACACUAUACCCAUCACUCUCUCUCUCUCUCUCCCUCCCCCCUUUACAAUGAGCAGCGUCAUCAGCUGGUGCGGCAAGGGACCGAUGGUUUUGACAAUUUUUCGGGACACUGCUUUGACUUUAGCUUCUGCCUUGUAUGUGAAGGAGACAAUAAUGGAAAAGUUUGGCAACAAUGGAGGUUCUGGCUCGUCUGUUAGCAAGCGGGUUUUUGGAAAACGAACAGAGGCUAGCGGUAGUUAGAUGGCUAAAGAGUUGGUAUAUGCAGUAAAGUGCAAAUUAUUAUCAGUAGUGCAGACUUUAACUUCAAUCAGAUGUAAUUUCUUUGCUUUUUAGAUUCCCAGCCAAGUUGAGCAAUAAACAGUUUUUAUUA
Molecule: long non-coding RNA, 705 nt
Organism: Prunus persica (peach)
Lineage: Eukaryota; Viridiplantae; Streptophyta; Magnoliopsida; Rosales; Rosaceae
Exons: 2
Source: RefSeq, a predicted model, not a curated record